Molecule: ribosomal RNA, 468 nt
Filed under: uncultured bacterium
Lineage: Bacteria
Description: partial 16S ribosomal RNA
Rfam family: Bacterial small subunit ribosomal RNA
Source: RNAcentral
GACGAACGCUGGCGGCGUGCUUAACACAUGCAAGUCGAACGGAAAGGCCCUGCUUUUGUGGGGUGCUCGAGUGGCGAACGGGUGAGUAACACGUGAGUAACCUGCCCUUGACUUUGGGAUAACUUCAGGAAACUGGGGCUAAUACCGGAUAGGAGCUCCUGCUGCAUGGUGGGGGUUGGAAAGUUUCGGCGGUUGGGGAUGGACUCGCGGCUUAUCAGCUUGUUGGUGGGGUAGUGGCUUACCAAGGCUUUGACGGGUAGCCGGCCUGAGAGGGUGACCGGCCACAUUGGGACUGAGAUACGGCCCAGAGUCCUACGGGAGGCAGCAGUGGGGAAUAUUGCACAAUGGGCGGAAGCCUGAUGCAGCAACGCCGCGUGCGGGAUGACGGCCUUCGGGGUGUAAACCGCUUUCGCCUGUGACGAAGCGUGAGUGACGGUAAUGGGUAAAGAAGCACCGGCUAACUACGUG